UAAUACGUAGGUGGCGAGCGUUGUCCGGAAUUACUGGGUGUAAAGCGCGUGUAGGCGGGAGGCCAAGUCUGCGGUGAAAUCGCUCGGCUCAACUGGGCGGGGUCCGUGGAAACUGGUCACCUGGAGGACGGUAGAGGCGAGUGGAAUUCCCGGUGUAGUGGUGAAAUGCGUAGAGAUCGGGAGGAACACCAGUGGCGAAGGCGGCUCGCUGGGCCGGACCUGACGCUGAGACGCGAAGGCGUGGGGAGCGAACGGGAUUAGAUACCCCGGUAGUCCACGCAGUAAACGAUGCACACUAGGUGUGGGGGGUAUCGAGCCCCUCCGUGCCGUAGUUAACACAGUAAGUGUGCCACCUGGGGAGUACGGCCGCAAGGUUA
RNAcentral lists this ribosomal RNA (377 nucleotides) under uncultured bacterium. Its description in RNAcentral is "bacterial SSU rRNA". It matches the Rfam family "Bacterial small subunit ribosomal RNA", at positions 521 to 896 of the family's 1533-position model. The record is from RNAcentral.